CCUACGGGAGGCUGCAGUGGGGAAUAUUGCAUAAUGGGGGAAACCCUGAUGCAGCGACGCCGCGUGAGUGAAGAAGUAAUUCGUUACGUAAAGCUCUAUCAGCAGGGAAGCAACACUGACCUUACGGUCAGCAGACGGUACCUGAGUAAGAAGCCCCGGCUAACUACGUGCCAGCAGCCGCGGUAAUACGGAGGGGGCAAGCGUUAUCCGGAUUUACUGGGUGUAAAGGGAGCGUAGACGGUGCGCCAAGUCUGGAGGGAAAUGCCGCAGCUUAACUGCGGAACUGCUGUGGAAACUGGCGAACUAGAGUGGGGGAGGGGUAAGCGGAAGUCGCAGUGUAGCGGUGAAAUGCGUAGAUAUUAGGAGGAACACCGGUGGCGAAGGCGGCUUACCGGACCGUAACUGACGCUGAGGCUCGAAAGCGUGGGGAGCAAACAGGAUUAGAUACCCGAGUAGUC
This 458-nucleotide ribosomal RNA is filed under the name uncultured bacterium. RNAcentral's name for it is "partial 16S ribosomal RNA". It matches the Rfam family "Bacterial small subunit ribosomal RNA", at positions 338 to 795 of the family's 1533-position model. The record is from RNAcentral.